UUGACUCUUUUUACACUCUCUCUACCUUUCUCAAAUUUUCUCCUAUUUUUUGAGAGCCAUGUUUGACUUAGGCAUUAGAGAAUCCCUUACUGGACAUGCUUCGAGGGGUGAACUUCUUUAUUUUUACUAUUUUAGGUCAGAGCUAGUAUCGAAGCAUCGAUCGGAGCUAUUCUUUCGCCAUCUAGCAUCAACUCGUGGGUGCUCCGUGCCAGAACCAUCACUUCGGAGGUAUAAAACAACCUCAUCCGAUCUCUCUGAUCUGGACGACAUGUGAGCUUAGAUCUCUAACAAUCCCAUUAACUCGAUGUCUGGGUCGGACUGGUUCCGAGCAGUAACAAUACAAAUGAACCAAGCAAUAACUAUGGUUGCUAUUCGCGAAAACAAAUGCCA
This 390-nucleotide long non-coding RNA is filed under the name Phoenix dactylifera (date palm). Its description in RNAcentral is "long non-coding RNA (PDAC_LNC003980)". The record is from RNAcentral. Lineage: Eukaryota; Viridiplantae; Streptophyta; Magnoliopsida; Arecales; Arecaceae.